Molecule: ribosomal RNA, 403 nt
Filed under: Verrucomicrobiota bacterium
Lineage: Bacteria; Pseudomonadati; Verrucomicrobiota
Description: Verrucomicrobia bacterium partial 16S ribosomal RNA
Rfam family: Bacterial small subunit ribosomal RNA
Source: RNAcentral
UGGGGAAUAUUGCACAAUGGGGGAAACCCUGAUGCAGCGACGCCGCGUGAGCGAAGAAGGCUUUCGAGUCGUAAAGCUCUGUCCUAUGAGAAGAUAAUGACGGUAUCAUAGGAGGAAGCCCUGGCUAAAUACGUGCCAGCAGCCGCGGUAAUACGUAUGGGGCGAGCGUUGUCCGGAAUUAUUGGGCGUAAAGGGUACGUAGGUGGUUUUUUAAGUCAGGUGUCAAAGCGUGGAGCUUAACUCCAUUAAGCACUUGAAACUGAAAGACUUGAGUGAAGGAGAGGAAAGUGGAAUUCCUAGUGUAGCGGUGAAAUGCGUAGAUAUUAGGAGGAAUACCGGUGGCGAAGGCGACUUUCUGGACUUUUACUGACGCUCAGGUACGAAAGCGUGGGGAGCAAACAGG